AUGCACGCUAGCUACAGGCUUAACACAUGCAAGUCGAGGGGAAACGGCAUCGAAAGCUUGCUUUUGAUGGGCGUCGACCGGCGCACGGGUGAGUAACACGUAUCCAACCUGCCCAUCACUUGGGAAUAACCUUGCGAAAGUAAGACUAAUGCCCAAUGACAUCCCACGAAGGCAUCCGAAUGGGAUUAAAGAUUUAUCGGUGAUGGAUGGGGAUGCGUCUGAUUAGCUUGUUGGCGGGGUGACGGCCCACCAAGGCAACGAUCAGUAGGGGUUCUGAGAGGAAGGUCCCCCACAUUGGAACUGAGACACGGUCCAAACUCCUACGGGAGGCAGCAGUGAGGAAUAUUGGUCAAUGGGCGAGAGCCUGAACCAGCCAAGUAGCGUGCAGGAUGACGGCCCUAUGGGUUGUAAACUGCUUUUAUAAGGGAAUAAAGUGGGUCACGUGUGACUUUUUGCAUGUACCUUAUGAAUAAGGACCGGCUAAUUCCGUG
RNAcentral lists this ribosomal RNA (491 nucleotides) under uncultured bacterium. RNAcentral's name for it is "partial 16S ribosomal RNA". It matches the Rfam family "Bacterial small subunit ribosomal RNA", at positions 29 to 507 of the family's 1533-position model. The record is from RNAcentral.